Thunnus maccoyii (southern bluefin tuna) is the source of this 1933-nucleotide long non-coding RNA. RefSeq lists it as uncharacterized. Lineage: Eukaryota; Metazoa; Chordata; Actinopteri; Scombriformes; Scombridae. The transcript has 2 exons. The record is from RefSeq and is a predicted model, not a curated record.
UUAUUCAGUUUUCUUUUACAAAUUUGGUCCUAGUCAUUGCCAAUUAUCAACAGGAUCAAACUAAACACUUGCUGCAGACGUGUUGCAACAACAGAUUAAUGCUUAAACUAUAAAUCAUUUAUUUCAAUUAAACAUUCUCCAACUAGAAUCAGCACAGCAGGGAAGUCAGUAAAUCAGUCUGCAUUGAUGUAUAAAUGAAUGCGGGUGAUUCUUACAGUAUCUGCUGUUUAUACUGUAUGAGAAGCUUCUCCUUCAGCCUCUGAGAAGUGUAAAGAUUAAAGAUUAACACCAAAUCACUUAAACGUGGGUUUAAUUAACCUACAUCAGUCUGAUGGGAGGCGUCCAUGUUUGUUUGGCUUCCGGGCACAAACAUAUUAUUAAGUAUUAUUAAGUUGAGCAUAACAGUAAACGCUCUUUAUAAGUCGGAAAAGUUACAAUAACUCUGAUAUGACUUAAUCUACUCUGAUGAGAGAAGAGGACGAUUUAUUGGAAUAAAGCUGAACUUUUAAUCAAUGGAAACUGCCCAAAGGGUACAAAAAAUAGCCCAAAUUAUCACAACCCGUCCAAAACUAAUUUUACCACCGACUUAAUUAAAAAGUCCAAUUUGAACUGUGACUGAACUGAAUUUGGUUAAACUGAGCUCUGAUCUCCUUGACAACAGCCUCCACUGCAGCUUUUCACUGUACAUGAGAGUGAACACGUGUGUGAUUGUGAAAUACAAAUGAAUUCUGACAUCCUGGUUGGCAAAAUACACAAAUUUACUAGACUCAGACUCUAAAGCGGCCAGUAUACUCUAUUAGAAGUGCUCAUUGGAUGGUCAAGUAGCUUCAGAAAGCCCCUCCCCCACCACCUGUCCAGUAUAUAGUCACUUUGCGCAGUGAUUGGUUGAUUGAUUGAUGAGAGAGGAGCUCUUUUAGCUGCUUUAGGGAGGAGGGGCGGGAGAAUUAAAUACAAUUAUUUGUAAAUAAUUUCAGGUCUUUCACCAUGUGGUUUUGCAGACGAUACUAUGUCUUAAUAUCAAGAUAAAUACUGAUGCCUUGAUACAUAAAAUAAUAAUAUAUACAUAUCCUGGGAUGUCUGACGUGGUCGUACACUCUCGUUCUAAUAAAUCAACUCUAACUCUCUCUUUCUCACAAGCAAAGAGCUGAAAAACUUAAUACUUGAAAGGUACAAUAUGCAACUUCUGGAAAUCAAGCUAGCUGUAGCAUGAGACUCCUACGAAAGCGUCAAAACAGCCUCUGUAUUGAUUUUUCUCCGGGGCUGGAAGUAACGGAGCUCUUCUGUUGGGAUUUUUACAGCGUUCACAAAACAUCAUCCUCACAGACAGUUAUUGAAAACCUGGACCUGGACAGCUAUCGCCAAGUCCUGCAGACCUGCCUGACCCAUGACCCCAGCCUCAUUUUUGAUGUCCUCGCCAUCAGAGAGGGAGACUGACAGGCAUCUAAUCCUCUUACCAUCCCAGCACAACCCCAGUAGUGGAUCUGCCAGAGGUGUAGGAGGAGGCCAACGGGCACUGAGUGCAAAUGUUGUUGACAGCAGCCUCAAUCCUGCAUUCCUCCUCCGCCUCACACGGAUACCGUCGUCCUGCAGGAGAGAGUCUUACCUUUGGCCAGGAGGUGAUGAAAAAUGACAUUUAUUCAUGAUUGUCUGAAUCUGGGAGAGGUAUGCUGCAUACAGACAGUUUGUCCUGUGGCAGUAUGGUUACAUGGGUCAGGGUUGUGAUACCAUCCUGCUGUGUGAAGAGGAUCAGAGACAAAUACCCAGAUCCCCAAACCGCGGACUCAUUCCCAGGAGUGUGUAACUAUCUACGGAACACCAUAUUGUCUCAUUAUGUAAACAGCUUGGAGAACAUUUGUCUUUGUAUUUAUUCGUAAUUUUGGCUAAUUUGUUUUCACUUUGAUUUGCGCUACAUUCUAAUAAAAUAUUGCAUCUG